This 954-nucleotide long non-coding RNA is filed under the name Homo sapiens (human). Its description in RNAcentral is "HSALNT0356546". The record is from RNAcentral. Lineage: Eukaryota; Metazoa; Chordata; Mammalia; Primates; Hominidae.
CAACGGUGGUCACGCUGGGCACUCUUCUCUCCCCACGGAAACUCAACCUCCAGAGAGAACCAGCGCCAGGGGCCUGUGGGAAAACAGGAUGAUGCUCAUUCCAAGAUUUUCUGUUUUAUUUCUGUCUUUUGCAAUCGUUGGCCUGCUUUGCUGCCAUAAAUGAGGGAAUUGUGGCUAAGAGAGCAAUCUGCCGGAAGCAUCUCCUCAUCCAUCGGUGGACACUAACCACAGCUAUAACCGGGACAACUAGAGACACUGUCCAAGUCCUCUGUCAAAUUCACAACUUAGCUUGCCCUUAGGUGUGAAUACAGACUGACCCCAGGGCCGGAGGGGCUGCUGUUGUGAGCCUUUCCUGCUGGAGGGGCCUAAGGACUCAGUUCCCUUUAUCUAAGACAAAACCGAAUGGAGACAGUAAGAGCCCAUCACACUCCACCCUCCCUCCCUCACCUUCUUGCAGAGCUGGUAGAGUGUAGUGGCCAAGAGCAGGUCCUCUGCGGUGUCACAAUUGGAGACCUCUUCUGAAUCCAUCCCUCACCAACUCAGUGACCAGAGCUGGUUACCCAACCUCUCAGUGCUUCAGGUUUGGUUUGAUGUUUUCAAUCUCUAGAAUGCAACAGUCGUAGAGUUGGUGAGAAGAUUAUGCAGCUGUGCUGAGGAAAGAGUAAGAGCUCAAACAUGUCAGCUGUCAUUCAAAUGUCACUACAAUGGCCUUUUUUCAAGUGUGAUCCACUUGCACCAAAAUUACCUGAGGUGCUUGUGACAAGGAUCUUACAGAUUCAGUCUCCACGGAAGGUUCCAGAAGUGUUUUAGUGAUCGAGGCAGGGGCUCUACAGUCAGACAGACCCAACUUCAAAUCUUACCUUGCACCUUAGUUAGAUCUGCGUGAUGUGCAACAAGUUAAUGCAUUUAGCUUCUUGGAGUCUUUGUUUCAAUAAAUUAAGACAUUAAUAUCUA